UACAGAGGGGGCAAGCGUUAUUCGGAAUUAUUGGGCGUAAAGGGCGCGUAGGCGGCUUUGCAAGUGGCGGGUGAAAUCCCUCGGCUUAACCGAGGAACUGCCUGCCAGACUGUGAGGCUUGAGACCGGGAGAGGUGAGUGGAAUUCCCAGUGUAGCGGUGAAAUGCGUAGAUAUUGGGAGGAACACCGGUGGCGAAGGCGGGAUCCUGGGCCAGUACUGACGCUGAGGAGCGAAAGCGUGGGGAGCAAACAGG
This 253-nucleotide ribosomal RNA is filed under the name uncultured bacterium. Its description in RNAcentral is "partial 16S ribosomal RNA". It matches the Rfam family "Bacterial small subunit ribosomal RNA", at positions 524 to 776 of the family's 1533-position model. The record is from RNAcentral.